This 75-nucleotide transfer RNA is filed under the name bacterium. RNAcentral describes it as "tRNA-Glu". It matches the Rfam family "tRNA". Rfam says of the family: Transfer RNA (tRNA) molecules are approximately 80 nucleotides in length. Their secondary structure includes four short double-helical elements and three loops (D, anti-codon, and T loops). The record is from RNAcentral. RNAcentral also lists the same sequence under 2 other names.
GGCCCGUUCGUCUAGUGGUUAGGACUCCAGGUUUUCAUCCUGGCAACAGGGGUUCGAUUCCCCUACGGGCUACCA